Molecule: ribosomal RNA, 468 nt
Filed under: uncultured bacterium
Lineage: Bacteria
Description: partial 16S ribosomal RNA
Rfam family: Bacterial small subunit ribosomal RNA
Source: RNAcentral
GACGAACGCUGGCGGCGUGCUUAACACAUGCAAGUCGAACGGAAAGGCCCUGCUUUUGUGGGGUGCUCGAGUGGCGAACGGGUGAGUAACACGUGAGUAACCUGCCCUUUACUUUGGGAUAACUUCAGGAAACUGGGGCUAAUACCGGAUAGGAGCUCCUGCUGCAUGGUGGUGGUUGGAAAGUUUCGGCGGUUGGGGAUGGACGCGCGGCUUAUCAGCUUGUUGGUGGGGUAGUGGCUUACCAAGGCUUUGACGGGUAGCCGGCCUGAGAGGGUGACCGGGCACAAGGGGACUGAGAGACGGACCAGACGCCUACGGGAGGCAGCAGGGGGGAAUAGUGCACAAUGGGCGGAAGCCUGAGGCAGCAACGCCGCGUGCGGGAAGACGGCCUACGGGUUGUAAACAGAGUUGGCAGGAGACGAAGAGUGAGUGACGGUAAUGGGUAAAGAAGCACCGGCUAACUACGUG